RNAcentral lists this ribosomal RNA (119 nucleotides) under Pteropus alecto (black flying fox). Lineage: Eukaryota; Metazoa; Chordata; Mammalia; Chiroptera; Pteropodidae. RNAcentral also lists the same sequence under 1 other name. The record is from RNAcentral.
CACUACGGCCAUGCUGUGCUGAACAUGCCUGAUCCCGCCUGAUCUUGGAAGCUAAACAGGGUUGGGCCUGGUUAGUACUUGGAUGGGAGACCACCUAGGAAUACCAGGUGCUGUAGGUA